GUGGGACCCCUCAGCCUCACCCUCUCUAGGGCGCAGCAAGUCCGCCGCGAGCCCCUCUGCUCAUCGCUCGUUACCCCCCAGGCCCUUGGGCUUGGGCUCAGGCCCAGUCGUUCCUCUGCAACAAAUCCAAUGGAACCGCGCCCUCCCUGAAUCCCACGUCUAGGAAGAGGAGGAGGAGCCCCUCUUGCUUGGGGGAAGGGGCUCCCGACUCGGAGCCCCGAGCCCCAUUCCUCUCCCGCGCCAGCUCUUCGGGACGCGGCCUCCCAGCGGACGCCCUGAGACCUUGCAAGUCCGCUAGGGAGGGGUCGGGACGAGCCGUCGCGGGUGGAUCCGCCCGGCCGAGCAACGACCCGCCCGGGCGCGAGGACCACGGGCUGUCGUGCGGGAGGCGUCGAGGGGCAGUAAACUCCGUUCGUGACCAAACGGAGACGAUUUGAAACUUGCUGCUCACACUGGAUCACCGUCUGGAAGGUGCGACGGGGAAAAAAUACACAUUACACUCCAGCAGGAUUGAACGCUUUCACCCUGUGCCCCGCGCCUGGCGUAACGCGUGGCCCCAGACCACACGCUGUAACCCGGGGUGAGAGGGAGUGAGGUGGGACUUCGUACCGGACCCGGAGCGCCGGCCUCGCCCGCGCGGGCAGCGUUCACUGUGGGGAGUGCUCACUCAGCCUAGGGCGGCCCGGGAGGACUGCCGGGAGGAGGGAGUCGGCCUUGAAUUGAGGCCUCAGCCUUGAAUAGGGUAGGGAGGCAAGCCUAGCCGAGAGUUUAGCACUAGCAAAAGCCUGGAGGCACCAGGGUCUGCCCUAAGAACUGCAGCGCCUCUGCUCUGGCUGGGAUUUAACGCAUUACGUCUCUGCUGUUUAUAGGUGUUGUGUUUGGUCUUACGACUUCGUAUUCUAUAGUUUUUAUUUAUUCCUGUUUUCUGAAUUUUCCCACAUUUGCUUUUAUCUUCUAUCGUGAUUUUCAAGGCAGAAAGUAUUUUUAAUUCUUCUCGCGGCUGCCUUUAGAUUUAUCAAAUGAAAAUAGUUUACAUUUCACACAUUAGUAAAGUCAGUGACAAAUAAUUCGUUUUUAUAUUCCCCCAUGAGAAAUUUUGUGUGCUUUUCUGCCUCCUACCUGCCGCCCUCACUACUUAUAUUUGUCCACUUAAUCAGGACGACAGACCUAACUUUUGUUUACACUUUUUUUUUAAGCCACAACAUUCUUUUUCAAUCCUUGUUUUUGGCUUUUGCCAACUCUGUUUAAUUGGUUUCAAUGUUACUGCCGGUUUUUUGUGCUCUAAUUUUUCUAUUCCUCAUUUGGACCCAUCUCUCACAUGACUGGUGAUUUCAGGGAGGACUCUGGAAUGUUGUAUUUCCUAAGCCUUUGCCUUAGGUGAGAAUGCCUUUAUAAUGAUUUCCUGUUUAUAGGAUUCUUGAGUCUCAAGCUUUCCCCCUCAAAACUCUUGUCUUUAUUUCAUUGUCUUCUGGCACUGAAAAUGCAAAGCUGGGUUUGUCUGUUUAAGGUCAGCAGUUUGCUUGGUGCUUGCAAGGGUUUUUCUUUACCCUCAAAAGUCAAACAUUUUGCCAGUAUAAAUCAAUAUGGGCCUUAUCUAUUAAUUUUCCAGAAACAAAAGAGGUCUUCUUUGUAGCUUAGAAAAGUUUUCUUCCUGUCCAUUCUGUGAAAAGAUUUGGGUUUUUUUCUUUCCUCUCCUCUAAAACUAUCACAUUGGAUCACCAAUGUCAAAUAAAUCUGUUUGUUUUCUCUGCACCCUGGGAGACUAUAUCAAGUUUUUCUUCACCAUUACGGAUUUAAUUUUCUUCAGAGCCAAGAGUACUGUUUAUUUUCUCCAAUAAGACAUUUGAUUCUGCUUGUUUUAUUUUUCUUUCAGCCAAUUUCCAUUCCACCUCUGUCUUGAUCUCAACUUAAUCUCUCUUUGUAGUCUCCAUUCCUAUUUCAUAGACUAAUGUGGUUUUGCAUCUUUAAAAGAACACCAGGAAAAUAAGAGAAUACUAUCUAUAUCUGACUCUGGUCCAAUGCAUAUGAAAACUUUUUUGUUUUUUUGAGACAGAGUCUCACUUAAAAUUUACACAAACUCUAGCAUAGUGUGUAACUAUUGAAUGAAUAACUAAUGCAAUCCCCUUCCUUUCUUUCAGAGCAACUAUGAACUAGACUUUUUUUUUUUUUUUUUUUUUUUUUUUUUCUGAAAUGGAGUCUCCCUCUGGAAUGCAAUGGUGCAAUCUCAGCCCACUGCAACGUUCGCCUCCUGGGUUCAAGCAAUUCUCCUGCCUCAGCCUCCUGAGUAGCUGGGAUUACAGGCAUGUGCCACCACCACGCCGGGCUAAUUUUUGUAUUUUUAGUAGAGACGGGGUUUCAUUAUGUUGGUCAGGCUGGUCUCGAACUCCUGACCUUGAGAUCCGCCCGCCUCGGCCUCCCAAAGUGCUGAGAUUAGACUAUUUGUAUCUAGGUUCAUCAGUUCAGUGAACUAAUCAAUACUUUGUUUUGUUUUGUUUUGUUGUUGCUUAAGAUGAUUUGUCACCUGCUGAUUAAUGAUCACACAAGUUGUUUUUUUUUGAGAGAGUCUUGCUCUGUCACCCAGGCUGGAGUGCAGUGGCAUGAUCUUGGCUCCCUGCAACCUCCGCCUCCCGGGUUUAAGUGCUUCUUUUGCCUCAGUCUCAGUAGCUGGCAUUACAGGCGUGCACCAUUACACCCAGCUAAUUUUUUGUAUUUUUAGUAGAGACAGUGUUUCGCCAUGUUGGCCAGGCUGGUCUCGAAUUCCUGGCCUCAAGUGAUCCACCCUCCUCCACCUUCCAAAGUGCUGGGAUUACAGAACUGAGCCACCGUGCCCGGCCCUGAAAACCUUGAUAAAGGGGCUCAUUUUCUGGGAAAUAAAAUUACAAGGAUAACAAAGAUAUUAAAAACAUCAUCCAAGAAAUAUGUCCAAAAAAGGUUCUGGUGGCCGGCAUCGUUGCUCACGCCUAUAAUCUCAACACUUUAGGAGGCCGAGGCAGGAGGAUGGCUUGAGCCCAGGAGUUCAAGACCAGCCUGGACAACAUAGGGAGACCCUGUCUCUACAAAAAAAUUUAAAAAUUGGGCUGGGCAUGGUGGCUUACACCUGUAAUCCCAGCACUUUGGGAGACCAAGGCAGGUGGAUCACCUGAAGUCAGGAGUUUGAGACCAGCCUGGCCAACAUUAGUGAAACCCCAUCUUUACCAAAAAAUACAAAAAUUAGCCAGUUGUGGUGGUGAAUGCCUGUAGUCCCAGCUACUCGGGAAGCUGAGGCAAGAGAAUCACUUGAACCCAGGAGGUGGAAGUUGCAGUGAGCUGAGAUUGCGCUGUUGCACUCCAGCCUGGGCGACAGAGUGAGACCCUGUCUCAAAAAAAAAAAAAAAAAAAAAUUAAAAAAUUAGCUAGGCACAGUGGUGCACACCUGUGAUCUCAGCUACUCAGGAGGCUGAGGUUGGAUGAUGGCUUGGGCCUGGGAGGUUCAGGCUGCAAGUGGGCCGUGAUCGUGCUACUGCACUCUAGUCUGGGCAGCAGAGCAAGACCUUGUCUCAAAAAUAAAUAAAUGAAAUUUUAAAAAGGCUCUGGCCUCAGACAGUUUAAUGGAAGAAAUCUCUCAAACUCACUGAAUAGAUAAUUUUCACCCUACUAAUCUGCAUCAGAACCCAGAAAAGAUAGAAUGCUGUCUAUUUCAUUUUAUGAAGCCACAAUUCCCCUUAUACCAAUUCCUAAUAAUAGCACAGGAAGAAAGGAAAACUGAAAACCAUACUCAUCAGUCAUCAGUUCCAGGGGUGGAAAAUCCUACAUACAAUUCAAGAAAAUAAAACUGUAGAUUAUUCUGUAUGAAAUUAAUAAGCCAUGAGUUUGUCAACUGAGAAAAAAAAACAAUUAUCAUAAUAGAUGCCAAAAAAAUCAGUCAAAAAUGAAUACCCAAAAAGAACCCUCCUAAUUAACCAGGAACAGUUGAAAUUAAGAAUUAUGUAUUACCGGCCAGGCACGGUGGCUCAUGCCUUAAUCCCAGCACUUUGGGAGGCUGAGGUGGGUAGAUCACCUGAAGUCAGGAGUUUGAGACCAGCCUGGCCAAUAUGGUGAAGCCUCAUCUCUACUAAAAAUACAAAAAUUAGCUGGGUGGGGUGGCAAGUGCCUGUAAUCCCAGCGACUCAGGAGGCUGAAGCGGGAGGAUCACCUGAACUUGGGAGGUCGUGACUGCAGUGAACAGUCAUCAUGCCACUGCACAAUGCAGCCUGGGCUACAGAGUGAGUUGCCAUCUCAAAAAAAAAAAAAAAAAAAAAAAAGCCACGUGAGAUGUGAGUUCCUGUUUCCCUACAGCCUCACCAGCAUAGGAUAUCAUUAGUCUUUUAAAUAUUUGUUUUAAUCACGUCUUCUUUGCCCCAUAGCUGACGGAGGGGUUCCCACUCUCAUGUGAUGGCAGUGGCCAAACACAACACCUGACACUGGGCAGAUUCUGAUUUGACUGGUCCUGGGUGCAACGGGGCUGGCAUGAGACGACUAAAAACUCCCCAGGUGAAUCCAAUGAGCAACCAGGCUAAGGACCAGUGAUCUAACUGUAAGUCAUUCUCUUCUUUUCCCUUUGUAAUUUUAUGUUUCCACCUCAUACUGUGGUUGGCUACAUCUGUUUCUUCCCUCUCCUACUAGAAUGUAGGCUCCAGAUGGCCUUCCAAACAAUACAUGUGGCCCUUCACGCUCCAGGUGAUGACAAGUACCCGUUGCUGAUGGAAGUAGCAGAGUCAUACCUUUCUUGGAAUUUAGGUUCUACAGUCAAUGCUUAUGGCACCCAAUGAGUCAAAAACACCCUUGGCAACUCCUAAGGAAGGCUCUGCCCUGGAACCUGAUGUACUGUUUCCCCAUCACCAUCCAGGGAGAGUUUCCUCCUGGGCCGGAACAGAAAGCUGCCUCCUCCAUCAGGCACCAGAGGAAGUAGGGGGCUUCUGUUUAGGGACCACUUUGCAUAAAUACACAUUUAAACAUGUGCCUCACCCUCAGCACAGCAGGAUGCUCACGCCAUGAACAGCCAACAGGAACCAGAGUGACCGACCCUCCAGGAGGUACACACCUCCCUCCCAUCCCACCCACUUCUGAGCAUAUGGUUCUCACAUCCACCAGUGGGUGGAAUCACCCACACCAUUUAAACUUUUUGUCAAGGAUGUAGAGCUGAAUUCAUGUGAUUUCCCACAUGAGCAAUGUCCCUCCCUCCACUGCACAAUUAUAGCCAGCUCAAGCAGGUCCUCUCCUUCCUUCUACCUGCCCUGCAAAUGGCUCUCUCCUUCACUGACCCCCCGCCCUCCUUCUUAAAGGCUGAUGCUCCCUAGGACUCUAUCCUUGAUGCUUCUCAUUAAUUCUUCUCCCCGCUGGCUCUCAGCCCUACUUAGGGCUCCUGAUCAGUUAAAAAAGACCCAUGAGACCUCCCCUCCCCAGUUAACAGAGAUGUGGCCCAAGAGGCUCCCCACUUCUAAUUUGAGUGGGGGCAAAAGAAGAGAAAGAUCUUAUCUAGGUCUUGGGGGCAGGGCUUGCAGGGCACAAAGAAACAGAGUAAAUGUGCAACAGGCUAUUUUCUUGAAUGAAUGGAUUCAUAAUAAGAACAGGACUUCACCAGCUUCCAAGGGACCCUCCCCACCUCUCGGAUAUAUUCUGAAGCCUAAAUUUCACCUGCUUAUCUAGGAUCCUAGGCCAGGCCUUCUGCCACACCAAGCCACACCAAGCUCAGCAGUACUCACAGGCCUUUAAUCUAUAACUGCCUG
This 5744-nucleotide long non-coding RNA is filed under the name Homo sapiens (human). RNAcentral's name for it is "non-protein coding lnc-ITPA-2:2". Lineage: Eukaryota; Metazoa; Chordata; Mammalia; Primates; Hominidae. The record is from RNAcentral.